ACCUUUACCAGGAUGAGCUUGGACUCCUUGGGCUUUGUGCUGGAGAAGCACUGCCCGAAGCAGAGGAAGAUGGUGAAGUCGGGGGAGCGCUCCCUGCGGCUGUCGCGGAAGUCCCGGAGCUCUGCAGGAAGAGGUCCGGGCUCACCUGAGGCAACCGCGUAGACCUUGUGCGGGUCGUCGUUGCACUUGGAGCGGUCCUCCAGCAGCAUGAACAUGUGAGUGCUCCUCAGGGCGCAGCGGAAGUUGGUCUUCCAUUUGGCCGGAUCCUCAGCGUUCCCCUCGUACCUGCCGCUGGCCUUCGCCCAGGCCUGGUGGGCACGGACAGGUGAGCACAGGGACCCCAGAAAUGAUCUCAUCUCAUCCAUAUCAAAGGCCUUGAGGUCAUUGCUGGUCACCCCUUGUCCCAGCCUCCCUUGAAGCCCCUGAGGUCACCGCUAGUCAUCCCCCAACAGAACUGUGGUGUGGCGGGGCCCUGUGGGUCCGCCUGGCUCAGGCCUUGCACAAGCAGGAGCAUCCAGCAUGGGUUGCUGCCAUUCUCACCUGCCUUGAAGACUACAGUCCUUCAGUCGCACCUAUCCUACUUCAAAGGCCUUGCGGUCACCGCCGGUGCCCACCCCAUUCCCAUCCACCUGUGGUUCUCAUCCCACAGAACCAUUAAGGCUGGAAAGCCACCAACCCAUCCCCGCCAUGCCCACUGCCCCUAUCCCUCACUGCCCCAUCCACGCACUUCUUACACACCUCCAGCACAGCGAUCUCACCAGUGCCCCAAGCGGCCUUUGCACCCCGUCCGGCCAUCUUGAAGACCACACGCCUCUUGUGCCACCUCCAAGACCUCGCAGUCCCCGCUGCUGACCAUCCCACCCACCUCUGAGUCCCCGCCGGCCGCCCACCUUGAAGAUCUCCACGUCGCUGCUGGUGACAUCCUUCCUGGCGUUGUGCUUCCAAGGGAUGCGGAAGAUACGGCGGUCCGGGUCGAUCCAGCAGAGGCCGCGGUACAGCCCGCUGCUGACGGCGUUCAGCAGCCAUGGCCCGAAGCGCAGCUUCUGGGCGUCCCUGCGGGGCGGCACGGUCAGCUCCCGGGCUGCGCGGACACCCGGCGGGCACCCGGCCGCGCCGCUUACCCCUCGCUGUCCAGCGCUGCCAUGGCUCCGAGGCUUCCGCACUGCUCCGCGCACGGACGGGACCGGACGGGACCACCCCGAGGCCGGGCUUUAUAGAGCGGCGGUGGCUUUCCUGGAAAUCACGUGGGGAAAUGAAACUGAAACCGCUCCGGUGGGAGGGAGCGGCCGGGAGGGUGCGGGUGCGCAGCUGCGGGGUGCGGGGAUACCGCUUCGGCACCGCCACUCUCGACCCGUCGCGGCCGUCAGCGGUCCGCCGGCGGCGGUGGGGAUAUCCGCACUACGCGGCGCGGGUCGAAGGGCGGCCCGGAACGCUGCCAGCGGGGCUUUCCGACUCGGCCCCAACGUGCAGCCUCGGGGCUGGAAAGUCCAGCGGGCUCUGAAGUUAUUUUUACGAUUUAACUCUUUUUCUGUUUAUCAACCACUGCUAUCUACGAAGCUCCCCCCCUCUCCCCCCCCCCAGACUCCCAGGAUAUUUCAGGAUAUUUGCUCCUUUUGAGGAAUUCCCCUCCCUGCUCUCUGGAAAAUUCUCACAUUGCCUCAUAGGAAAUUUCACCCUUCAGGACAUUUGACCGCACCUUUUCAGGAUUUCCCUAUCGUUUUUCUGGAUUUCUUCCAUUUUGCUCUGUAGGAAUUUCCCCGUGAUUCUAUAGGAUGCUUCCUUACCGCUUCCUGGUACGCUUUUCUCUUUUCCUCCAGGGAAGAAGGCCAAAAGCCAUGGUUACGGAGAGGCAUUAAGCACCUGGAGCCACCAGAGCCAAGGCCUGGGCAGGGACAAGGUGACACCGCAUGGGGCAUAAGGGAGAAGAGCCCAGCGGAUGACCCAGUGCAGAAGUCGUGGGUAGGACGCGGCAGGUGCCAGCUCCACGUUCCUCACCAUCCCCUGCCCUGGGAACACGCGGUACGUGCAGCAGGGAAGCAGACACCUGGCCAGGGUGAGCAGAGGUGCGACCGAUUGCCUCUAUUUCGUAAUACCGGAAUCCACACUUGGGAGGUCUCUGCUCACCGGUGAUGGAUCGGAAUUCCCCCACUUGAAACGCAUCUUUGUUUUGGUGCCGGCCUGCAGGGCCAGGUCACGGACACCUCCUGACACCCUCCAGCCUCGGGUCCAAGCGGUUAAACCCAGCCCCAGUGAGGUCACAGAACAUCCCCAGAAGCACCUGGGGAUAAGGGAAAGUGACCCCCCAAAGCUCAACCCCCACUCCCACAGCCCCAUGGGUGCCCCCAAUCCCACCUUCUCCGAAACGCUGGGAUGAGGAAAGCAGGGAGGGAGGCAGCUCCAAACCCCCACAGACUUGCACCUGGAUUUAGGAAGCCAUACAUACGAGCCUCCCCCCAAUGAGGAUUCGCGGUGUUUUGCUGAACAAGAGCAGCUGAAGGUUUCGGGAGGAAGAGGGAGCACCUUAGAAAAACCACAAAUCUUUCUCUUUUAAUCCACCCAAGAGAAAUCCAGAGCAAGAGCAGCAUCACAGCACUACACACAUCACAGACAUCUACCGGACUCGGAGACCAUCUUUGCACAGAUUCCUUCCCAAAUACAAGGAAAAAUCAUUAGGAAAAAAAGGAAAGUGAUUCACAUAAGCAAAGUGACAAGGAACAAAUCAGCCACAGAACGACUUCUUCUAAGAGAAAAAGGAUGCAUUGAGGAAGGAAGCCCUCAACUUAUGGGUUUGGAGAAAUACCCCAACCCAAGGAUGCUGAACCAGAGGUGGUCGUCUUUCAAACAUUAAAAACGUUGAUUGUUUUGUUUUUAAAUUAACUUAAAUGUACAACUGAAACACAAAGACCAAGCGAGCGCCUGGAGAAACAAACAAAAAGAAGGAAUGGAAGGUGAAUCUGACUCGUUUAAUUUAAACAUCGAGGUUGGGUGGAUUGCACCACAUGGAAUAAAUAAUGGAGAAGAUCACGGUGAGCUUGUUCAUCUCGCACUUAAGAUAAUUCACCAAGGAUUAACAGCACAGCCCACGAGAGUACUUAAUGAGAAGCCCUCUGACAAGUGGUUGCAGCUGGGCAGCGUCCCUUUGGCAGAGCAGGUUGUGGAGCAGGGAAGUGCCCCCGCCACCCAACGAUGAACACUACCCCAAGGGCAAGAGGGAUGAUGAGCUCCUGGGAUUGCAAUCCCGCAGUCCCACCUGCACAACAGCUCCCUGCUCAGGGCGUGGAACCUCCUUGACAGCAGCUGGCUGCAGGCAUGCCCAGUCAAACAACUCAAAACCGGACCUUGUGCUUUCACCUUGCAAGGUAAGAGCAAACACACAGGCUUUCUAGCACAGCUGCCGUACCUUGGACCCUAUGGAAACAGACCAGGCUCCUCCUUUCACGCCCUGGGGCCAAGCCAGGAAACACAAAGCUAACUGUGUACACAGCUAACCAUAUACCUGCUGCAGGCAUCGCCUCGGAGUGGGCAGGCUGAAGGAAUGUAAGUGGUUUCUUUUUGUUUGGUUGCUUUUCUCUCCCCACAAUUUCUGCGUUAAAAAAUAAAAUAAAGUUGAUCCCAAGUUUCUCUCCUUCCCCUGCCUGCAGCCAAGCAGGGAAGGACCUUCGACAUUCACAUGAUCCCACAUACUUGUUCCCUACAGAGCAGCCACCUCGCCGCUGCACUUCGCCAAGAGGGAAGUCCCUUUGCUUUAAAACAAAAAUAAUUACAAAAAAAUAUAUAUAUAUAUAGCAAUGAUCUCCUUUCCCUUCCUCUGAUCUCCAAGAAAUUCACCCUAGUCCAACUCAUUUUUGAGCAAGGGAGAGAGGCGAAGGUUCCCAAGCCAAGGAACUUGCCAGACCCAGCAUCCCCUUUGCAGGACACCUGCUCUCCUCCUGGGACCCAGCAUCCGGAGGGGUGGCUGAGGGACACAGCUGCCCCUGCAGCCCCUCUGCAGGCAGCCGGGAGCCCUGGGAAGGGUGGAGGUGAAUGAGGGCUCAGGUUAUUUUUUCCCCCUUCCCUCUUCCUUGUAAAUGCUGGGAGGGGACUUCUGGGUGUGCAAGCCCAGUCUGUGCUUACCAGUGUCCUUAAGAAUUAUGAUCAAAAAGAAAAAGGAAAAAAAAAAAAAAAAAAAAAGGAAAGGAUAAAAAAAAAAAAAAAAGGUAUGCAUAAUUGGGUAUUGUCCGUGGAAGGAGAGGGAGGGAACAGGCUCCAGAUCAAGACAGAAAAGAGACUCUCCCUUCCCGCGUUUGCUCGUCUGGAGACCAUGUCCCCCAUGUUCCCAUGCGAACCCUCUGUGCUGUUGCUCUGACACCACUGGACAUGGACGACAAACACAGGGAUGAAUCCGGUGUGGCAGAGGACGGGCGGGCACAGGCAGGCAUGCCGGGGCUAGGCCCGGUGCUUGGGGAGUAUGUCCAGGAGGAACUCCGCAAUGCCAAUGAAGUAGACGACUUGUGCGAUGCCGAAGAGAGGAGCGAUGACCAGGGCUCGGCAGUACGCCCCUUUCAGGAAGGCCAUGGGUCCUUCCUUCUGCCAGAUCUUCCUGGGAAAAGAUGGCACAGUACUAAACCCAGGAGUCUCACUUGGUGCAGUCCAGGAUUCCUGAGUACGUGUCUUCGUUGACUCCUCUCUGCAAAGAUUGCAGCCGUGUUUUGAUCACUGGGGAGAAAGAGGAGAGACAGUGGUGAGUGGAGGGCUGGCCUCCCCCAGCAGCCCCUUCUUCUAAACUCAGUAUCUUUCUGUAAAAUGGGAUCUGAUUUCCAAAUACUCAGAGCUACCUCUAAAUGCUCAACUCCUUCUGGAAGAGCAGGUCAAAAUAUCUAAAAUAUGCAGCACUACUCUUACAUUUCUUCCCCUCUUGAAGUGUGUGUAGUGUUGACAAGAGAGCAGUUACUUUCAGGUGAGAUUUUAAGGUAUUUGAGGCAGCUGCUGUGGAGCAGAAGAAAAGGCCCCUGCUUGCCUCUGCCCUUUGGCAUGAGUGCCAUUGGUUGGGGGACAGUGCUCCAGAUGGAAAUGUGCCUUUUCAGGGGCAAGUCCUGUAAAGAAUAGCUGAAGUGAGUGACAUCUUCCUGACUUAUAUAGUGAGUACUGCAAACUUCAGUGUAAGAAACGGUCAAGGUUCCAGCUCAGCUGCAGGAAACACCUUCAGCUCCUGGAGGCAGCUCCAACAGCAGAGCACGCUUCCUAUACUUCCCUCAGUGCUCAUGCAGUGAAGAGGCAAGCACGGCCAUCCUUCCCCUCACCCAGCCCACCCGAUGGCCUCUGAGUGCUGUCACACAGCACCAGGCUGCCAGAACAAGCUGCUGGGGACUCACCAUCACAAGGAUUGACAGCCACUGCAGCUGUACUACCGGCCACGCAUCCAGAGAGAAAGGACACGUAGAACGGGGCCUUGACAUCGGGGUCUUUCUGGCCCAGCUUGUUCAGGUUUGCAAACAGCGGGAAGUAAACGAUGGAGAAUGGGACAUCCCUGUGGAGGGAAGGAAGGAAGGGGAAGAAAGAAAGAGGACAAGGAUGAGCAAAGUCAGGCUGGGACACCAACAAACCAAGCAUCAAAGGACGGGCUGCACGCUUGGUGUGCUGGCAGCGCAGCCACAAGCGCAGGGCAGGCAUCAUCCCAGCUCUGCGACUGCACGAAGAGCUGAAACUCCUGUGUCACUCUGUGGAGGCUCAGGCUGACAGUUCCGCUCCGUGUCCUACCUUAGCAGCGUGGCUCCCAGGCCCUUGUAGAGCCCCGCGAUGCCUUUGCUGCGCAGCAGCUCCCUGGUUAUCUGCGUCGCUGUGGUGCGCGCUUCCACCACCGGCUCUGCUGCCCCGGCCGCGGAGGAAGGGGAGAGCUGGGCCUGUGCUGCCAUCAGCUUCUUCUGUGCCGCUGCGGAGAAGCAGAGAGAGUGUGAGACUGCAAGAUGCUCAACUGCAGCCUCUUGCUGCCUGGUGCCACGGGACAGAAGUAGGGCAAACGAGAGGUACGGCAAUCAUUAAGUCUGAGCAGGUAUACCACGUUUACACAGGCAACGUGGUUCCUUCCAGGAGCCUUUCCGAACUCUGAUGCAUUUCUGCUCUUUGGCCAGAAGAUGGGGAGCACACCAACCUGUAGGCAACGCUGUGGCUGCCACCGGCACACCGCAGGUCCCUGCCGCACAGAGAACAAGCCGUGUGCAGAAGCACUAACCUCUUUUGAACUUUUCAACUGUGGCUUAAAUCCUUCAAACACUUUAAAAUGCUACACACAAAGAAGAUAAGGUCUGCAUUAAAAGCAGCAAACAGAUGAAAGAAAAAUAAAUCCAUGAUUGUUCAGGAAUGCCACAUCAAAGGAGGGAUUAGAGGACAAAUUGGCCCAUCUUCCAGGCAGUUUCAGAAGGUAUCUAAGUGGACAUCACCAGGCGUUCUCAGGAACGGGGCCAUAUGCUGGGCUGACUUCUGAAUGAGGUUAAUGGUGACAGUUCUUCCUUCAGAUUCACCGAGCCACUUCUGGUCUCAGUUCUGAUCAGGAAAGCAUAUCUGGAAGCUGUUAGGGUGCUGCUAUUGUGGGGAGUGCGGAAGAGAGAAAGGACAGCGGGAAAGAAGGAGACAGAGGAAGUACCACAGCAAAAGCACUGCAGGAUGUUAACCCCUUCCUGACUGUAGAGAACUAGCAAGUUGUAAGCACUCAAAAGGUGCUCAGCCCAGCCAUCUCUCCUAUAUCUCUCUAUCCACCACGAGCAUUUGCUGUUUCACCUGCCAAGCUCUGAGCAAAAACACUUUUUCUAACCAAAAGGGCCUUUGCAAGGCCAGGUGAGCAAAGGCUGGGAGGAAACAAGUUGGGAAGAGGAGAAAUUUCUGCUACAAACUGAGGUACCUCUGACUCAAGGUGGGAGGAAGGAAAGGGGUUUAUAUGGCUCGUUCCCUCUCCCUGCCUGGUGCACAGGGAGAUGCACACGUACCGAUCCGUCCUGCAUCCUGCAGCUGGAUUUUGAGCAUCUCCAUGGGAGUGGUGACGAUCACCUGGCAGGUACCCGCGCCGCAGCCUGCCAGCAUCUCCCUCAGCAGCGUCAGCUUCUUCCUGCCCAAAGGAAGAGAGGGGUGGUCAGAGGAGGUGGCCAACAUUCAAUGCUGACGACAUCCCCAGCAGAGACCACCGGGCAAGGGGCAGGAGGAAAUAGUUCUAGUUGCUGCUUUCAACUUCUCUGACAAAAGCAACAACAUGUAAAAAAUGAAUGUGAGAGUCAAGAAGCAGCUCCCUUAUAUUAGGAAGGUCUUCAACUCAUAAGCCUUUUCACACCUACUUCCUAAAGGCAGAAAAGGCAGCUUUUAUACCCAACUGGUCCUGCUGAGAGACGAAGGGCGCGACAGACCCCCAGUACUGCAGCCCUGUGCAUUUUCUGUGCCAGAGGGCUGGAGUCACCGAGGGCAUGCUCUUGUCUUACAAAACACAGCUUCCUCCCUCCCGAAGCCACAAAACCACCCAGUUAGGGCUGAAAAGAGGAACUUAGGAUGCAGAAGGGCUCAGUUUUAAGAAACUUAUGAGUUCUCGCCCUGUAAAAAUCUCACACUACGGUGGCACCAGAAAUCAUUGGAAGAAAAAGUGCUUAUGAUCUGUUCCUUUUUUAAAAGGGAAAAAGAAAAAAGAAAAAAAAAAAAAGCAGAGAGAGAUCAUGCAGCCAAGAGGAAACAGCCUCUUUUUUUGUUGUUUUAAACACGAGGAGUACUUUCACCUCCCCACAGCCCUGCUCCUGCAGAAAUAGGCAACUGUGGGGUCUGAGUGCAACGAAAGGAGCGUUAAUUGCUGCUGGGAGCCAUCCCAGCACGUGCAGAGCAGCAGGCAGUGCUGGGGAUUUGCUCAGCUUUCCCCAGCUGGGCUUCCCCCAGCUGGGCGCAUCACUCUGCCCGCUCCCCACCUGCCCAGCUCUGCUCAUGGGCCGCAGGGCACGCUGGGUCACAGUGGGACUGCCCUAAUCCUGCUUCCCUGCCACGUCAGUGCGCCCAUUUCUCCACCUCUCAUUUCCAGGCUGGGUAUCAGAGCAGGGGAUUAGAGGCACAAAGCCACAACAGAGAUUACGACGGCUAAAUAUAGCGCUCUCCGUUGGGACUGAAGGAAGAAACACUGCACAGUAUUACCUUUCCAAAUUCUCCUGUGGAUGAAACGUGGGCAGAAGCAUGAUUGCACAGCCCUUAGGCCAGCAGUGGGAGGACGCAGACAUGCACAGAAGCCAGCUACCAGUCCCCCCACCACCUGGCAGAGCAUCUUCUGCCUCAGCAAGAGCCCUGCAGCAACCGUGAAGCACACGCUUGGCUUUCACCCAGGGAGAUUGCUUUGAUGCCCGGUUCAAAAGCUCAGGAAGAUGCCCUGUGUGUUCAUCUGUGGGCCAUUACCGCAGCACACACAAAUCAGCUUGCCUUGAUUGAGCUCCACAGAGCCCCAUCAGUGCAACUCAGUAAAGGCUUAUGUGCAUGGGUGUAUAAACAGGCCACAUCAAAAGCAUGCAGAAUGAGGGCUUUCGGUUUGCAUCUCUUGGAAACCUGAGGGGAGUCCAGGAAAUAAGACAAGCAAUUUUUUUGUCAGAAGGCUUAAAAUUUACCAUCCAGAGGUCAAAUUUCUAUCACACAACUUUGCUAGUCUGCGCAUAAAAUGAGUUGGAAAAUGAAUCAUCUCUAGAUGACAACAGGGGUUUCAACUUCAAGGCACCACAGGCCUUAUCCUCGGUGGUCUGAACACUGGAACAUCCCAACUAACUUCAAAAGCCCCAAUCCCUACAAGGAUUUGGUCUGACAAGUGUAAGAACAAUCUUUCAUCACAACAAGAGUGUGUUAAAUAUAAAAAAUAUCCCAAAUUCUGCACCGAUGGCAGUCACUCCUUUUUUUUUUCUUCCUUUCUUUCUUAGUAACUGAUGUACACAUAAUUAGUGACAAAUCAACAGUGUUACAAGGGAGUAAGGAAGAAGUUUCACGUUCUGAAGUGGAGUCUAAAGUGGAGUUUCAAAGUAGAGCUGAAAUACAAAACAAAGUCAAGAAGCAGGAACUGAAGAUUUACAAAGGGCUUUUGUAGAGCCAUGCAGCAGCCUACAGUUACAGCCUCUGCAAGCACUGGUAUACUGAUGUCAAAUUGAUCUUUUUCAAAAGCUUCUGAAAAAUCUUGGCUGUGUAGGAGAUGCCAGUGCUGGGGGAAGGACCCAACCAUUCCACAAUAGGUGUGACAAGAUUCCUAAAGGCAGGAAAAGUCUGACCUAAGGAAACAUCCACAACAAAGCCAUAUUGUAGGAACCAAGAUGUUCCUCUUCCCAGCUCGGACAUCACCUUCCUCACUCAUAACCUCUGCCUUUGGUCUGUCUACCCAACAGAUUGCACAAAGCUCCCUAAGAGUUCAAAUCAAAGACAGCCAGUUGGUUUCUAAUAGUGUAAAUAGCAGGAACGGAAACAACAAGGGGCACGUUCCUUCCACAGGCACCUGCUGUGAUUAAACAACCCAUCUCCAGCUCCCUCUGGAUUAGCAGCUGAAGGUGACCUUACCUUCUGGCUGACCUUUAGUAGCUAUGGCUUCAAUCCACCAUAACUCCCUGUGCGGCUGUAUGCUAAAUAACAGUGAGAUUAUCAACUCUGAACUUGCUCUUUCUCCCACCUACAAGUCUCAACAGGUUACAUGCAGGUUAUCUGCAUUAAGGAAGUAUCUGGACACCCAAUGGAUAACAACAGGAAAAGAACUGGCCCAUUAAAUUUCUUGUCAGAAAGUGGUGAUGCAGUGGCACAGGCUGCACAGGGGGUGGCGGAGUCACCACACCUGGAAGUGUUCAAGAACCAUGGAGAUGUGGCACUGAGGGACGUGGUCAGUGGGCAUGGUGGGGGUAGGCUUGGGGUUGGACUUGGUGAUCUUGGAGGCGUUUUCCAACCUUAAUAAUUCUGUGAUUGUACGACUGUGUGCAAGGUGACACAGAAGCUCAGCAGCACGACUAAUGGCAGCAUCCCUCCUUCCUAAACCUCUCUUCACAGCCUAUGUGCACCUUGCAGCUUAAAGAUCACCCAGGCCAUAUGACUGUUGCUUUUCCAGGUGCCACAAAUGAGAUAGCCUGAGUAUUUUAGGACAGCCUGAAAGAGGAGAGGAUGAAGGAAAGAGCCCAUCCAGCAAGGCAAUGGAGAACAAGCUCCAGUCUCCACAUCUACAUGGGAGCAGGAAAAGUGCUGUUUCCCUCUAGGACUACAGUCAGCUAUUUCUCUUCUCCAAGCAAAGCUAGAAAAGAAGGGGGGCAGAAAGGAAGAAAAUUUGCUGGCAUCAGCAAAGGAGCAAUUAAUACAAUCACACUGGUUUAAGUAGGAACCUGAGCUGCUCAGUCAGCACAUCGCCAGCCUUUGCUCCAGAACAGCAAAUAAAAUGCAGGUAUAGAUGAUGGGAGUGGUAAGAGAAUAACAUAAUGACAGGCUUUGAGGAGGAGGAACAGCAGGAAACUCAUCCAGGGAUACUGCAGAGUUUUUAUGAUUAAGAAAUACCUUUCAUAAGAAGACAUGAGACACUUUUUACUGGAGCCAAGGUAGAGCACUUAGCCAAGAACCAAACCUGGCAAGCAUGGGGCAAACAGCAGCUAUCUGGCACUAAAUGCUCUGAAGAUAAACAUGAAGACACUUUACAGGGACCAGCUUACCACCCGAAUUCAAAGAGGACAAAAAGAGUUAUAGGCAACACUUGCACCCAUAAAAGAGACCUCACGUACUGAGCACCUAAAAACAUCACUGUACUUUAAAUGCAUGCAGGUGUACUACCAAUUUACAUUGCUUUCUUAGCUUCGUGCCCCUGUGCUUCAUACUCAAGUGCUUCACUUAGCUCUAAUGACUCAUGCUCACACAUUCUCUGCUCCGGAUGAUAAAGCUGGUGCUGUUUUAAACAGCAGCUCUGAGUUUAGGGGUUUCUGCAUUCAUCCAGCUUCAGAAAUUCAGAGAAAAAUCUCAUCAGUUCCCUAUAGCCUAAAGAGAAGAAGUUUCCCCUCUCACAUCCUGCUUUCCCAGAGGCACAGUGAUGAAGACCUGCCAGAAGAUGCUUCUGCAGAUCCCCACUUCUGCUUGUUGGCCUGGAAACUGCAGAGACUCUACAGGCAAAAUAAUCACAGGACAAUGCCACGUUUUCAAGGGGGUUUCCAGUAGACACAGGCCUCCUUGUUCCUAAAUGAGGAGACAUGUGAAGACCAGCACAGUAAGUUUUGUUUCCUCUGGAAACAAGAAGUGCUAUCAGCAGGCUGCCACACUGGUGUCAACGUGAAAAUAGAAACAGGAAAAGAAGCAGAAAUGAAGCCCCUUAUCCUGUGAGCACAUUUCUCCUGUAACAAAAGGGAGUGGGACAUGGGCAUUGUAGGAGGGGGAGAGCACAUCCAAAUUGGCCCCAGGUUGAGAGACCUGCAGGAACAGAAUUCUCCAGGCUCAGGGGGACAAGAGCAUCAACAGAGGCAUAAAGUCCCACCUGAACUCCUACAGCCCCAGUAUGUCACCUCCUGAAACAUCCAUGAGCACAGCCAGGAAGACAAAAAAAAAGGAGUCUAGCACAAACCUGCAGUGAUACAGCCCCAGAAUAGUCUUACAGCAAUUUGCAGCCAGGAGCUUCCUACAUCAUCCGUGUUGUUUUCCAUCUGGCCUUUUGGAAACAGGCUUUAUGCCACGUUCUUUUUCGAGCAGUUUAAAAGCAGGUUCAUUUCAACAUCAAGUUUUUUCAAAGGGGAAAAGAAGAAAGCAGCUCACUAGAAGUUGCUGAGUAUCUUGAAGCUAUUUUGAGCCGUUUGCCACAUUUUCUCCUGUCCAUAAAUGCUUCUUCGAAGCUCAAGUAGAAGACAGACUCAGCAACUUUGGUCAAUAAAUACUGAUAAAAUAUGAAGGUUUUGUAAAACAAGGAACUGAUAAACAACACAUUUCAAGCAAGAUAAGUGCCAGAAGCUUAGCAAUGAAGGCACUCAACGUUAAACAGAUCUAGAAGACUCCUGCCCUGUCUUCUAUCAAAAAUAGCCAGGGAAAAGGGGACAGAAGCAUCUCAGUGGAGAAGCCUGCAGACAGCUUGGAAAGUGGGAUCAAGAGCAAGGCAACCCCCUGGCAGACACCCAGCUCCAUCACCCAGUGAAAUGACUUUGUCACGUGUGCUGCACAUGGGAAGAGAUCCUGGGAACUGCCAGCAGGAAGGUGGCACACAGCCACCAGAGCAUGGCUGGGUGCAACCUCUCCAACAGGUUAUUUUCACCAUUCCCACGCCUGCAAUUUCCCUGCAAGCAUAAGAAGGAUCUCAAAAUAAGCAACUGCCCCACAGUUUCUAAGGGUCCUCAUGCUGCUCCAUGGCUUUUUCAGCUACUCCCUGCUACCCAUGCCCUAAGCAAGGUCACGGUACGUACAGUACCUUCCAGCUAGAUCCCAGUUUCAGGGCCUAUAGCAGCCACAGCCAACCUGCAAGACACCUUCUUUCCCACUGCAUCUUGGAAUGUCACCUCUAGUUAGAAAUAUCUUAAACUGUCUAUAACCACAGUAUCAAGGUUCUGUCCUACUCAUUCCAGCUAUCUCUAUAAGCAGAGCUGACCAGAUUUCGUUCAUUCAAGCCCCCCAUAGUGGUUGACCUCAGCACCAUAUGAUGACUAGUUCACUUGCCACCUAACCAAGGCCUGACCUUUCUUUUCCUCGAAAGGAGAAAAAAAUGCUUCAUACUGAGACUCAACCUAUUAAGUCUUCACUUCAUCGAUGGUGGCGAAGAGCUAGGCUACAGCAGUACAUCAGGGCUCGCUGUGCUGUAUGCUGCACGGAUGAGACCCACCACUUGGAAGAAGCAAUGAGGACAUCAUCACCUCCCACCUUCUGUGCAGAGUACAGAGAGACACUAUUUGAAGAGACAGACGAUCGCAAACAGCUGCGAGCCGAUGAGUCACACAGAGGUACAUUAAGUGCUACUUCAAAAGACUCCAGAACCAAAAAAAAAAUAGGUGCAGGAAAGGCUCAGAUCCAGAGCCUGUGUAAAUCUGCAGACUCCACUGACGUUGUUGAGCCACUGUGUUCUGCCACAGCACGGCAUGUUACAGGAAGCUGUUAGAGCAAGUAAUUGUGGCAGAACUUUGCGUUUGCAGCAAGGUGAACUGCUGGGAUAAGAGUUCAGAACUGGGAUUUUAUUGCAGGCUGGUUGCUUUCUAGCUGCUGUCACUGAAAACAGUGCCCUUGCUGGACCCUUCACUGUCCGUCUCUGGAGAGAUGUCUUGAUCUUGAAGGGAGACGUGAGUGUCCUCUGCAUCUGUUCAAGCUACAGUCACUGAAAAACCAGAAAGAAGACAGCAGCAUCCAAUGGAAUGCUGACGACAAGGGUCCUCCCAGCAGCUGUCUGAGCAACCAUCAGUGCCAUUGGGUUCCUCUCAAAUACGCUGCUUACAAAGUCUGGAUCUGUUAACCUUGGCUAAGGGGUAGGCCUAUUUUUAGAAGCUUGAAUAAAAACCAGUCAUCCAGUGAA
Molecule: long non-coding RNA, 13462 nt
Organism: Gallus gallus (chicken)
Lineage: Eukaryota; Metazoa; Chordata; Aves; Galliformes; Phasianidae
Exons: 3
Source: RefSeq, a predicted model, not a curated record